This 266-nucleotide ribosomal RNA is filed under the name uncultured bacterium. RNAcentral describes it as "partial small subunit ribosomal RNA". It matches the Rfam family "Bacterial small subunit ribosomal RNA", at positions 26 to 287 of the family's 1533-position model. The record is from RNAcentral.
AGAACGAACGCUGGCGGCAUGCCUAACACAUGCAAGUCGAACGCUUCCGGGCUUCGGUCGCGGAGGAGUGGCGCACGGGUGAGUAGCGCGUGGGAACCUGCCCUGUUGUGGGGGAUAACCGAGGGAAACUUCGGCUAAUACCGCAUACGCCCCGGGACUUGGUCUUCGGAUUAGGUCUGGGGGGAAAGAUUGAUCGCAGCAGGAGGGGCCCGCGUCGGAUUAGCUGGUUGGUGGGGUAACGGCUCACCAAGGCGAUGAUCCGUAGC